Molecule: ribosomal RNA, 484 nt
Filed under: uncultured bacterium
Lineage: Bacteria
Description: partial 16S ribosomal RNA
Rfam family: Bacterial small subunit ribosomal RNA
Source: RNAcentral
AUUGAACGCUGGCGGCAGGCCUAACACAUGCAAGUCGAGCGGAUGAAGGGAGCUUGCUCCUGGAUUCAGCGGCGGACGGGUGAGUAAUGCCUAGGAAUCUGCCUGGUAGUGGGGGAUAACGUCCGGAAACGGGCGCUAAUACCGCAUACGUCCUGAGGGAGAAAGUGGGGGAUCUUCGGACCUCACGCUAUCAGAUAAGCCUAGGUCGGAUUAGCUAGUUGGUGGGGUAAAGGCCUACCAAGGCGACGAUCCGUAACUGGUCUGAGAGGAUGAUCAGUCACAUUGUAACCGAGAUACUGUCCAGACUCCUACUGGAGGCAGCAGUGGGGAAUAUUGGACAAUGGGCGAAAGCCUGAUCCAGCCAUGCCGCUUGUGUGAAGAAGGUCUUCGGACUGUAAAGCACUUUAAGUUGGGAGGAAGGGCAGUAAGUUAAUACCUUGCUUUUUUGACGUUACCAACAGAAUAAGCACCGGCUAACUUCGUG